This is a non-coding RNA of Hordeum vulgare subsp. vulgare (domesticated barley), 135 nucleotides long. NCBI's taxonomy places the organism in Eukaryota, Viridiplantae, Streptophyta, Magnoliopsida, Poales, Poaceae. The record is from Rfam.
UAAAUACUCCCUCCGUCCCAAAAUUCUUGUCUGAGGUUUGUUAGAAAUGGAUGUAUCAACAUACUAAAAUGUGACUAGAUACAUUCAUAUAUAGACAAAUCUGAGACAAGAAUUUUGGGACGGAGGGAGUACUAA